UAGUUCUUUAGAAUGCAGAAAGAAGGGUGU
Molecule: non-coding RNA, 30 nt
Filed under: Mus musculus (house mouse)
Lineage: Eukaryota; Metazoa; Chordata; Mammalia; Rodentia; Muridae
Source: RNAcentral